RNAcentral lists this ribosomal RNA (497 nucleotides) under uncultured bacterium. RNAcentral's name for it is "partial 16S ribosomal RNA". It matches the Rfam family "Bacterial small subunit ribosomal RNA", at positions 28 to 507 of the family's 1533-position model. The record is from RNAcentral.
GAUGAACGCUGGCGGCGUGCCUAAUACAUGCAAGUCGAGCGAACGGACGAGAAGCUUGCUUUUCUGAUGUUAGCGGCGGACGGGUGAGUAACACGUGGAUAACCUACCUAUAAGACUGGGAUAACUUCGGGAAACCGGAGCUAAUACCGGAUAAUAUUUUGAACCGCAUGGUUCAAAAGUGAAAGACGGUCUUGCUGUCACUUAUAGAUGGAUCCGCGCUGCAUUAGCUAGUUGGUAAGGUAACGGCUUACCAAGGCAACGGUGCAUAGCCGACCUGAGAGGGUGAUCGGCCACACUGGAACUGAGACACGGUCCAGACUCCGACGGGAGGCAGCAGUAGGGAAUCUUCCGCAAAGGGCGAAAGCCUGACGGAGCAACGCCGCGUGAGUGAUGAAGGUCCUCGGAUCGUAAAACUCUGUUAUUAGGGAAGAACAUAUGUGUAAGUAACUGUGCACAUCUUGACGGUACCUAAUCAGAAAGCCACGGCUAACUACGUG